This 481-nucleotide ribosomal RNA is filed under the name uncultured bacterium. Its description in RNAcentral is "partial 16S ribosomal RNA". It matches the Rfam family "Bacterial small subunit ribosomal RNA", at positions 28 to 507 of the family's 1533-position model. The record is from RNAcentral.
GAUGAACGCUGGCGGCGUGCUUAACACAUGCAAGUCGAACGAAGCACUUUAUUUGAUUUCCUUCGGGACUGAUUAUUUUGUGACUGAGUGGCGGACGGGUGAGUAACGCGUGGGUAACCUGCCUUGUACAGGGGGAUAACAGUUGGAAACGGCUGCUAAUACCGCAUAAGCGCACGGCAUCGCAUGAUGCAGUGUGAAAAACUCCGGUGGUAUAAGAUGGACCCGCGUUGGAUUAGCUAGUUGGUGAGGUAACGGCCCACCAAGGCGACGAUCCAUAGCCGACAUGAGAGGGUGACCGGCCACAUUGGGACUGAGACACGGCCCAAACUCCUACGGGAGGCAGCAGUGGGGAAUAUUGCACAAUGGGCGAAAGCCUGAUGCAGCGACGCCGCGUGAGCGAAGAAGUAUUUCGGUAUGUAAAGCUCUAUCAGCAGGGAAGAUAAUGACGGUACCUGACUAAGAAGCACCGGCUAAAUACGUG